This 221-nucleotide long non-coding RNA is filed under the name Homo sapiens (human). RNAcentral's name for it is "HSALNT0054420". Lineage: Eukaryota; Metazoa; Chordata; Mammalia; Primates; Hominidae. The record is from RNAcentral.
CCGCCUCCCAAGUUCGAGCAAUUCUCCUGCCUCGGCCUCUCGAGUAGCUUGUAUUUUAGCAGAGAUGGGGUUUCACCAUGUUGGCCAGGAUGGGCUCUACCUCCUGACCUCAUGAUCCACCCGCCUCAGCCUCCCAAAGUGCUGGGAUUACAGGCAUGAGCCCCAGCGCCCAGCCGUGGAUGUCCAUUCUUAAUUGCCUAUUAUCUAUUAGAGUAUCUUCA